AAGUCGUAACAAGGUUUCCGUAGGUGAACCUGCGGAAGGAUCAUUAACACGUAUCGUACGUUUAAAAACCCCGUGCACGUUGAUAAAACUUCUUCCAAGUAGUGGUUGAGGCGCGAGUUUUGACCAUGAAAGGCCGCGGCGAUGACGUUCGAACUGGAGCUUUGCAAGGCUAGUGUUUGGGUUGGGGGGAAAAGGGCCCUCGACUGGACGAGCAUGGGCUGGCCCGUAAAACGGACUCGAAACCCGAACAACUGUUAA
This 258-nucleotide unclassified non-coding RNA is filed under the name fungal sp. RNAcentral describes it as "partial internal transcribed spacer region". The stretch from base 1 to 46 matches the Rfam family "Eukaryotic small subunit ribosomal RNA", at positions 1786 to 1831 of the family's 1831-position model. The record is from RNAcentral. Lineage: Eukaryota; Fungi.